This 618-nucleotide ribosomal RNA is filed under the name Effuseotrichosporon vanderwaltii. RNAcentral's name for it is "eukaryotic LSU rRNA". It matches the Rfam family "Eukaryotic large subunit ribosomal RNA", at positions 48 to 656 of the family's 3401-position model. The record is from RNAcentral. Lineage: Eukaryota; Fungi; Basidiomycota; Tremellomycetes; Trichosporonales; Trichosporonaceae.
AAGCGGAGGAAAAGAAACUAACAAGGAUUCCCCUAGUAGCGGCGAGUGAAGCGGGAAGAGCUCAAAUUUGAAAUCUGGCGUCCUUCGGGCGUCCGAGUUGUAAUCUAUAGAAGCGUUUUCCGCGCUGGACCGUGUCUAAGUCCCUUGGAACAGGGUAUCAAAGAGGGUGAUAAUCCCGUACUUGACACGACCACCAGUGCUCUGUGAUACGUUCUCUACGAGUCGAGUUGUUUGGGAAUGCAGCUCAAAAUGGGUGGUAAAUUCCAUCUAAAGCUAAAUAUUGGCGAGAGACCGAUAGCGAACAAGUACCGUGAGGGAAAGAUGAAAAGCACUUUGGAAAGAGAGUUAAACAGUACGUGAAAUUGUUGAAAGGGAAACGAUUGAAGUCAGUCGUGUUCAUUGGACUCAGCCAGUUCUUCUGGUCUAUUUCCUUUGAACGGGUCAACAUCAGUUUUGUCCGGUGGAUAAAGGUAUUAGGAAUGUGGCUCUUUCGGGAGUGUUAUAGCCUAGUAUUGCAUACACUGGGGGAGACUGAGGACUGCAGCUCGCCUUUUGGCCGGGGUUCGCCCACGUUCGAGCUUAGGAUGUUGACAUAAUGGCUUUAAACGACCCGUCUUG